GACAGAGGUGCCGAGCGUUAGGCGGAAUCACUGGGCUUAAAGCGUGUGUAGGCGGACUUGUAAGUACCUUGUGAAAUCCCAUGGCUCAACCAUGGAACUGCUUGGUAUACUGCUUGUCUUGAGCCACUUAGGGGCAGUCGGAACAGACGGUGGAGCGGUGAAAUGCGUAGAUAUCGCCUGGAACGCCAAAGGUGAAAACAGACUGCUGGGGCUGUGCUGACGCUGAGACACGAAAGCCAGGGGAGCGAACGGG
This 253-nucleotide ribosomal RNA is filed under the name uncultured bacterium. RNAcentral's name for it is "partial 16S ribosomal RNA". It matches the Rfam family "Bacterial small subunit ribosomal RNA", at positions 524 to 776 of the family's 1533-position model. The record is from RNAcentral.